Long non-coding RNA from Zonotrichia albicollis (white-throated sparrow), 1373 nucleotides. The record is from Ensembl. NCBI's taxonomy places the organism in Eukaryota, Metazoa, Chordata, Aves, Passeriformes, Passerellidae.
GACAUGAUGGAUACAAAUGAAAACUAUUUGCUUUACAGCAAAUCAUGCUCUAAGUGCUACAUAUGUACUUUGCCAGCCUGUCACUGCAUCUGGAGUUGUCAGCCAUGCAAACUGGAGAGCUGCUAAAUGGCCUGGGAGAUGCCCUGCUGGGAGACACUCACGCCUUUAUCCCUGGCACUGCCUGCCUCCCACUGUGUUCCACUGGCUCUUCUUGGGAGUUUGCAGCAAGAAGUUCUUGUCCCACGACUGGAAACCUUGGAACCAUAUACUGUGUCCAGCUGUUGAUCCUCACAAUGUGAACACAGAAGACUAUUGUAUAGCUUCCAAACUAGCAAGGCACUGUAUAAUAUAUUGUAUUAUUACGUAUUAUUAUUAUGUACUAACAUAUGCAGUAAUACAUGAAGAAAUGCAUGUGUCCAUAAAAUAUUAUAAUAUAGAUAAGAUCACAAGAAAACAUUCCUGAUUAAUAUAAUUCUUUGCAUAUAUCCUCAGCAUGAUACAAGCAGUUUGAAAAGAGCUCUGAUGCAAUUUUCUUCAUAUACUAAAGUAUAUGAAGAAAAUGUAAAAAAGUUGUGCAGCACUGCUGUGAAAUAUUUUACAGAUAGUUGAGUAUUGGUAAUUGCUAAGUUAUCCCAUUGAAAUAAUAUCUAUAAACGUAUCCUAGACCUACAUCAAAUUAGAAGUAGACUAUCUGACCUAUAUACAAUCAGAUGCAGAAGAAGAGGCACCUCACUUUAUACUCUAAAUAUCUCCACUAAAAGUUGUAGACAUGAAUUAUUUUCCCAAGCUCCUCUUUUUUUAACCCUAGCAAUGAUGAAGUGGAAAGCACUUUGAUGGGAGGCAUAUUCUUCUGACUUACCCUAUGUUCUGACUUACCACUUCUGAGUAUUGGUAAACUGCUCACUGAUUACUGACUGAAAGAAGUGAUCUGCUGCAUGUUUGCAGGCUUGGAAUUAGUCAAAGUGCACAUAGGACAAGAAUUGGGAAUACUUUCUGAUUUUCUGUGCCUCUGAAUUAAAACAUGUAAAAAUUUUGUUUCUUUUGCCCCCAUUUAAUACCUGUCAGGAUGAGACACAGGUAAGAGGUAUUUCAGCCUGAAAUGCCUAUGCCUAAUACACGAGACAACAAUCUGUUUGCUGCCAGUUAUUUUUGAACAGAGCAUUGAAUUAUUUGAACAUCCCUGAAGAAUUCAAGGCAUCAGACUUCAUCAUACCAUGUAUGCUUCCCUUGGUCUAAUCAGAGCUGAUGACUUUUUCUCUCUCCUCCUAACAGUGACAUUUGUUUUAUCCAAACAGUUAAGAUGUUACAUUUUAAAUGCUUAUUAUUAGGUCCAUGAUUAACGGAAAACUAAUAAAAAACAGCUACAUUAUCCA